Molecule: ribosomal RNA, 253 nt
Filed under: uncultured bacterium
Lineage: Bacteria
Description: partial 16S ribosomal RNA
Rfam family: Bacterial small subunit ribosomal RNA
Source: RNAcentral
UACGUAGGGGGCAAGCGUUAUCCGGAUUUACUGGGUGUAAAGGGGGCGCAGACGGCGAUGCAAGCCAGGAGUGAAAGCCCGGGGCCCAACCCCGGGACUGCUCUUGGAACUGCGUGGCUGGAGUGCAGGAGGGGCAGGCGGAAUUCCUGGUGUAGCGGUGAAAUGCGUAGAUGUCAGGAGGAACACCGGUGGCGAAGGCGGCCUGCUGGACUGCAACUGACGUUGAGGCCCGAAAGCGUGGGGAGCAAACAGG